RNAcentral lists this ribosomal RNA (253 nucleotides) under uncultured bacterium. RNAcentral describes it as "partial 16S ribosomal RNA". It matches the Rfam family "Bacterial small subunit ribosomal RNA", at positions 524 to 776 of the family's 1533-position model. The record is from RNAcentral.
UACGUAGGCAGCAAGCGUUGUUCGGAAUUACUGGGCGUAAAGAGUGUGUAGGCGGUGCUCUAAGUCUGUCGUGAAAUCUCCCGGCUUAACUGGGAGGGUGCGGCGGAUACUAUUGUGCUAGAGGGUGGGAGAGGUAAGCGGAAUUCCUGGUGUAGCGGUGAAAUGCGUAGAUAUCAGGAGGAACACCGGUGGCGAAGGCGGCAUCCUGGACCAACACUGACGCUGAGGAGCGAAAGCCAGGGGAGCAAACGGG